Molecule: small RNA, 203 nt
Filed under: Arabidopsis thaliana (thale cress)
Lineage: Eukaryota; Viridiplantae; Streptophyta; Magnoliopsida; Brassicales; Brassicaceae
Description: ATSL205250
Source: RNAcentral
AUAUGUUGUUUUAAUAAGGAUUAAAACUUCAGUUUUUUAACAAUUGUCUCAUGGAUUCGUGGUAUAGCGUUACUUAAUAACAAUUAUAAGCUGUAAAAUAUAAAUAUUUUAUAAAAAAUAAAAUUUGCAAGUUUUAAUAUAUAUUACUUUUAAAAAAUAAAUCGUCCCGCGGUAUACCGCGGGUUAAAAUCUAGUCUAUACUU